This 906-nucleotide ribosomal RNA is filed under the name Alternaria alternata. RNAcentral's name for it is "eukaryotic LSU rRNA". It matches the Rfam family "Eukaryotic large subunit ribosomal RNA", at positions 32 to 957 of the family's 3401-position model. Lineage: Eukaryota; Fungi; Ascomycota; Dothideomycetes; Pleosporales; Pleosporaceae. The record is from RNAcentral.
ACUUAAGCAUAUCAAUAAGCGGAGGAAAAGAAACCAACAGGGAUUGCCCUAGUAACGGCGAGUGAAGCGGCAACAGCUCAAAUUUGAAAUCUGGCUCUUUUAGAGUCCGAGUUGUAAUUUGCAGAGGGCGCUUUGGCUUUGGCAGCGGUCCAAGUUCCUUGGAACAGGACGUCACAGAGGGUGAGAAUCCCGUACGUGGUCGCUGGCUAUUGCCGUGUAAAGCCCCUUCGACGAGUCGAGUUGUUUGGGAAUGCAGCUCUAAAUGGGAGGUACAUUUCUUCUAAAGCUAAAUAUUGGCCAGAGACCGAUAGCGCACAAGUAGAGUGAUCGAAAGAUGAAAAGCACUUUGGAAAGAGAGUCAAACAGCACGUGAAAUUGUUGAAAGGGAAGCGCUUGCAGCCAGACUUGCUUACAGUUGCUCAUCCGGGUUUCUACCCGGUGCACUCUUCUGUAGGCAGGCCAGCAUCAGUUUGGGCGGUAGGAUAAAGGUCUCUGUCACGUACCUCCUUUCGGGGAGGCCUUAUAGGGGAGACGACAUACUACCAGCCUGGACUGAGGUCCGCGCAUCUGCUAGGAUGCUGGCGUAAUGGCUGUAAGCGGCCCGUCUUGAAACACGGACCAAGGAGUCUAACAUCUAUGCGAGUGUUUGGGUGUCAAGCCCGAGCGCGUAAUGAAAGUGAACGGAGGUGGGAACCCGCAAGGGUGCACCAUCGACCGAUCCUGAUGUCUUCGGAAGGAUUUGAGUAAGAGCAUGGCUGUUGGGACCCGAAAGAUGGUGAACUAUGCUUGAAUAGGGUGAAGCCAGAGGAAACUCUGGUGGAGGCUCGCAGCGGUUCUGACGUGCAAAUCGAUCGUCAAAUUUGGGCAUAGGGCGAAAGACUAAUCGAACUAUCUAGUAGCUGGUCC